RNAcentral lists this ribosomal RNA (99 nucleotides) under Diaphorina citri (Asian citrus psyllid). The record is from RNAcentral. Lineage: Eukaryota; Metazoa; Arthropoda; Insecta; Hemiptera; Psyllidae.
GACAGCGGUAAUAGCACAUUGAAUGCACCAGUUUCCAACGAAUCACUGAAGUUAAGAAAGGUUGUGCAUAGUUGGUAUCCAGACACGUGACCGCUGGGA